RNAcentral lists this ribosomal RNA (465 nucleotides) under uncultured bacterium. Its description in RNAcentral is "partial 16S ribosomal RNA". It matches the Rfam family "Bacterial small subunit ribosomal RNA", at positions 339 to 795 of the family's 1533-position model. The record is from RNAcentral.
CUACGGGUCGCAGCAAUGGGGAAUAUUGGACAAUGGGGGAAACCCUGAUCCAGCAAUGCCGCGUGUGUGAAGAAGGCCUGCGGGUUGUAAAGCACUUUCGGUUGGGAGGACUGCUUCUAGCACUAAUAUUGUUGGAAGUUGACGUUACCUUCAGAAGAAGCACCGGCUAACUCCGUGCCAGCAGCCGCGGUAAUACGGAGGGUGCAAGCGUUAAUCGGAAUUACUGGGCGUAAAGCGCGCGUAGGCGGCUAGAUCAGUCGGGUGUGAAAGCCCCGGGCUUAACCUGGGAACUGCAUCCGAUACUGUCUAGCUUGAGGACAGGAGAGGAGAGUGGAAUUCCACAUGUAGCGGUGAAAUGCGUAGAUAUGUGGAGGAACACCAAUGGCGAAGGCAGCUCUCUGGCCUGAUACUGACGCUGAGGUGUGAAAGCGUGGGGAGCAAACAGGAUUAGAUACCCUAGUAGUC